UGCAAAAGGAGAAGCUGAGCAGGACC
This 26-nucleotide non-coding RNA is filed under the name Rattus norvegicus (Norway rat). Lineage: Eukaryota; Metazoa; Chordata; Mammalia; Rodentia; Muridae. The record is from RNAcentral.